CCCACUCCAGGCCUUCACACCUUGUGGGAGUACCAAUGGUUGCAUCAUUCAGCAAUUUCAGUCUGGCAACACUAAAACAACUGCACCAAAAAGAACCGUGUCCAGAUUUCAAACCAAGCAUUGAGAUCUUCUCGCUGAAUACCCUGAGAAACUAUUAGUACUAUGUUGACUAAGAUGCCUUCUGGACCCUGGUUGAUAUUACCCUACUCAUUCCUACCUUGUGGCUAACCACAAUGCUCAAACAUGUGAAGCAUAACUCAAUGACGACUCUGGACCACUGGAUACAACAUCAACAACUGGAUGGAAAGAUAUCAAAGAAGUCUGUGGCUGCCUGGAAUUUCACAAGGAUGUUGAUGGACCAUGUGUUUUAAUACCACCCUACAGAAACACCCUUCUAAUCCAUGGAAAUCCAAAGGUCACUUUUACACCUGUCCACCCUCAAUUGCUUUAGACUCAACUCAUGAGAAUUGUAUUGCACUCAAUAUUGUAAAUUACACCAAUACAACAUACAUCACAUUUGGUAUUAUAUUGUGUCAGUAAACAAUAUGAACAGAAAACACAUUUCACAAAUCUAACACUGCUACCACUAACACCUUUCACAAUCAUUUCCAUUUUUACCAUUUUUUUUCUUUUUUACAUUUCAUUAUAAUACAUGUAUUAAAUCUGCAGACAUUGUACUAUCAUUUCACAGUUAUUUCAGUUGAAUUAUUUGUAUAUUUCUUUAUAAUACAUGUGUUACCUGCAUUUGUAUAUACAAAUAGUUACUUUAUCUAUAUACACAAAAAGCUACUUAACAAAAAAUGCCAUAUGUAAUGUUUUUUAUCUUUUAACAUUGAUACAAGUUUUCAAC
This is a long non-coding RNA of Hypomesus transpacificus, 850 nucleotides long. RefSeq lists it as uncharacterized. Lineage: Eukaryota; Metazoa; Chordata; Actinopteri; Osmeriformes; Osmeridae. The record is from RefSeq and is a predicted model, not a curated record. The transcript has 3 exons.